AGAGUUUGAUCAUGGCUCAGGAUGAACGCUAGCGGCAGGCUUAACACAUGCAAGUCGAGCGCCCAGCAAUGGGAGCGGCGCACGGGUGAGUAACACGUGGGAACGUGCCCUUUGGUUCGGAAUAACGUAGGGAAACUUGCGCUAAUACCGGAUAAGCCCUAACGGGGAAAGAUUUAUCGCCAAUGGAGCGGCCCGCGUCCGAUUAGCUAGUUGGUGGGGUAAAAGCCUACCAAGGCAACGAUCGGUAGCUGGUCUGAGAGGACGACCAGCCACACUGGGACUGAGACACGGCCCAGACUCCUACGGGAGGCAGCAGUGGGGAAUCUUGGACAAUGGGGGAAACCCUGAUCCAGCCAUGCCGCGUGAGUGAUGAAGGCCCUAGGGUUGUAAAACUCUUUCGGCGGGGACGAUAAUGACGGUACCCGCAGAAGAAGCUCCGGCUAACUUCGUGCCAGCAGCCGCGGUAAUACGAAGGGGGCUAGCGUUGUUCGGAAUUACUGGGCGUAAAGCGCGCGCAGGCGGUCCUUUAAGUCAGGGGUGAAAGCCCAGAGCUCAACUCUGGAACUGCCUUUGAAACUAGAGGACUUGGGUACGGGAGAGGUGAGUGGAAUUCCGAGUGUAGAGGUGAAAUUCGUAGAUAUUCGGAAGAACACCAGUGGCGAAGGCGGCUCACUGGCCCGUUACCGACGCUCAGGCGCGACAGCGUGGGGAGCAAACAGGAUUAGAUACCCUAGUAGUCC
RNAcentral lists this ribosomal RNA (740 nucleotides) under uncultured bacterium. RNAcentral's name for it is "bacterial SSU rRNA". It matches the Rfam family "Bacterial small subunit ribosomal RNA", at positions 8 to 796 of the family's 1533-position model. The record is from RNAcentral.